UGGUCAAGAGGGGAUGAACAGGAAGAAUU
RNAcentral lists this non-coding RNA (29 nucleotides) under Cricetulus griseus (Chinese hamster). The record is from RNAcentral. Lineage: Eukaryota; Metazoa; Chordata; Mammalia; Rodentia; Cricetidae.